AUGGAACCUUCUCCGACGGAAAUUCGGUUAUGACGGGCUCUCUUAUGUCAUUCCCUUGUAUACUCGCAAUGACCACAUGCUCUCCUUUAUAAGCAAUACCAAUUGAAGACUCGCCAAACUUUUCUUUUCCUUCCUUCCUUCCCUCUCAACUCUCCACUCUCUACAGCUGCAAUUCUCCUUCUGUCGUCCCUCUCCUCUGCUUCUUCUCUGCUACUAUUACUGGGGGUGAAUUUCAGCCUUACCAAAUUGAAAGAAAUGGGCACCUGUUUCUCUUGUUCAGUCUUCAGUGAAUCUCAGCUUCUUCCCCCUACAGCAAAGGUUGUUUCUGUUAAUGGCAAUCUCGAGGAAUACUAUGUUCCUGUAUUUGUCUCUCAAGUCCUCGACUCUGAAGCUGCAUCAUCCUCGUCUUCAUCAUCGUUCUCAUCUUCUUACUUCCUCUGCAAUUCUGACUUUUUAUCCUAUGAUGAUUACAUUCCGGCCUUGGAUUCCAACGCUCAGCUCUACGCUAAUCAGUUAUACUUUGUUCUUCCUAGAUCUAAACUUCAAAACAGGCUGACCGCUUCUGACAUGGCAGCUUUGGCCGUAAAAGCUAGUGUAGCCAUCCAAAAUGCGUCGAAGAAAGAAGCUCAUCGGCGUAAGAAGGCCAGGAUUUCUCCUGUUUCGUUAGGCAAUCAGUUCCCUUCAUUAGAUGAUGAUGGCCAUGUUAUUAAGUCGUUUGAGAAGCCACAGGCACAGCAGCAAUCACCUGUAGGGCUUUCGAGAUCCGGGUCUGUUAGAAGAUUACGAAAGUAUACUUCCAGACGAGCGAAAUUAGCUGUUCGCUCCUUUAAGCUCAGAUUAAGCACCAUUUACGAAGGGACAGUGCUUUGAGUUUUUUUUAUUUGUUUAAUUUUUUUUUUUUAAUUUUCUAGUAGAACGUUAAUCCAAUUUUGAAGUGGGGGAAGAAAGCCAGGUCAAUCAAAUUUUCAUAUAUUUUUUUUUGGUAGACAAUUUUCAUAUGUUAAUUACCGUUUACAUAACUUCUAUAUAGUUUCCUGUAAAAAACAAUUAAUGAAGAUUGUUCUGAACAUCUGUAACUGAUUUAGUUUUUG
This 1091-nucleotide unclassified non-coding RNA is filed under the name Hevea brasiliensis (rubber tree). Lineage: Eukaryota; Viridiplantae; Streptophyta; Magnoliopsida; Malpighiales; Euphorbiaceae. The record is from RNAcentral.